AUGCCUUUCUUUUCUUUUUUUUUUUUUUUUAAAGAUUUUCCUGACUUACCCUUGGAGACCCAGCGAGGGAGGCGACACGCGGGCACGGGGAGCGCGCCGCGGGCCCGAUCCGGGACCCGAGGUCACGCCCCGGGCUGCCCCCGAUGCCGCCGCCUUCACAGCACCGCCCGCGAGCGGGGCCCCGAGUUCCCCCGCAAGGCCAGCGCGAACCCUCCGCGGGGAAGGCAGCGGCCCGUGCCCACCCCCGGCGAGGACGCGGCCGGGCCCCGAGGACCGCGCGGACGCGGCGCGGAGGGGGGCGCGACCCCGGGAGCCAGCGAGGCAGGGCUGCAGCCGCAGGGCCGCGCCGGCCGGGGUCGGGGCUCCGGGGACACGCAGGGAGGCCGGGUGCGCAGCCCGAGCCCCGACGGCGCGGCGGGACCAGGCCCGCGGUCGCGCGAGGCGGGGGACACUGACCCUCGGGCCGCAGCCGCUCCUCCCGGGCGGCCCCUCCGAGGGGCUCCCGUCCCGCCGCACGCCGGCGGCCAGCGCACGGCUCCUCCAGCUCCGGCCCGCCGAGGCGCCCGGCGCUCCGCGGUGGCGGCGCCCCUCGUCCUCUUCGGCGCCACGGCCCGCAGCUGGACCCGUUCCCCGGCGGGCGGCUCCCGGCGACCGCGGCUCCCGGCGGCCCGACUCGCAGUUGAGGAAACCCCCUCUACCAAUGGCAUAUUCCAUGAAUGGUGACCUGAUGUCCCAGAGCACACAGCAGGUAAGACAUAGUAAGGCCUCCAGGAACGCUCCAUUAGUCAGUCUUCUUACAACAGGCAGCAAUUGGUAUAGAUAAGGAAGAGCCAACUUUUAACCUCUAUCAACACCCUUGUUGGGAAUGGCUCUUGCCUCAACUGGCUUAAGGUG
RNAcentral lists this long non-coding RNA (894 nucleotides) under Canis lupus familiaris (dog). RNAcentral describes it as "lncRNA (ENSCAFG00845022406.1)". Lineage: Eukaryota; Metazoa; Chordata; Mammalia; Carnivora; Canidae. The record is from RNAcentral.